UACGGAGGAUGCGAGCGUUAUCCGGAUUUAUUGGGUUUAAAGGGUGCGUAGGCGGACUGUCAAGUCAGCGGUAAAAUCGAGAGGCUCAACCUCUUCCCGCCGUUGAAACUGGUGGUCUUGAGUGGAUGAGAAGUACGCGGAAUGCGUGGUGUAGCGGUGAAAUGCAUAGAUAUCACGCAGAACUCCAAUUGCGAAGGCAGCGUACCGGCAUCCAACUGACGCUGAGGCACGAAAGCGUGGGGAUCAAACAGG
Molecule: ribosomal RNA, 252 nt
Filed under: uncultured bacterium
Lineage: Bacteria
Description: partial 16S ribosomal RNA
Rfam family: Bacterial small subunit ribosomal RNA
Source: RNAcentral